RNAcentral lists this ribosomal RNA (252 nucleotides) under uncultured bacterium. RNAcentral describes it as "partial 16S ribosomal RNA". It matches the Rfam family "Bacterial small subunit ribosomal RNA", at positions 524 to 776 of the family's 1533-position model. The record is from RNAcentral.
UACGUAGGGUGCAAGCGUUGUCCGGAAUUAUUGGGCGUAAAGAGCUCGUAGGCGGUUUGUCGCGUCUGCUGUGAAAACGCGAGGCUCAACCUCGCGCCUGCAGUGGGUACGGGCAGACUAGAGUGCGGUAGGGGAGAUUGGAAUUCCUGGUGUAGCGGUGGAAUGCGCAGAUAUCAGGAGGAACACCGAUGGCGAAGGCAGAUCUCUGGGCCGUAACUGACGCUGAGGAGCGAAGCGUGGGGAGCGAACAGG